This 220-nucleotide ribosomal RNA is filed under the name uncultured bacterium. Its description in RNAcentral is "partial 16S ribosomal RNA". It matches the Rfam family "Bacterial small subunit ribosomal RNA", at positions 111 to 334 of the family's 1533-position model. The record is from RNAcentral.
UAAUGCAUCGGAACAUGUCCAUUCGUGGGGGAUAGCCCGGCGAAAGCCGGAUUAAUACCGCAUACGCCCGAGAGGGGAAAGUGGGGGACCGCAAGGCCUCACGCGAUUGGGUUGGCCGAUGUCCGAUUAGCUAGUUGGCGGGGUAAGAGCCCACCAAGGCGAUGAUCGGUAGCUGGUCUGAGAGGAUGAUCAGCCACACUGGGACUGAGACACGGCCCAG